This 779-nucleotide ribosomal RNA is filed under the name Rhode aspinifera. RNAcentral's name for it is "SSU rRNA". It matches the Rfam family "Eukaryotic small subunit ribosomal RNA", at positions 984 to 1780 of the family's 1831-position model. Lineage: Eukaryota; Metazoa; Arthropoda; Arachnida; Araneae; Dysderidae. The record is from RNAcentral.
CGAAAGUUAGAGGUUCGAAGGCGAUCAGAUACCGCCCUAGUUCUAACCAUAAACGAUGCCAACCAGCGAUCCGCCUGAGUUCCUCAAAUGACUCGGCGGGCAGCUUCCGGGAAACCAAAGUGUUUGGGUUCCGGGGGAAGUAUGGUUGCAAAGCUGAAACUUAAAGGAAUUGACGGAAGGGCACCACCAGGAGUGGAGCCUGCGGCUUAAUUUGACUCAACACGGGAAAACUUACCCGGCCCGGACACUGGUAGGAUUGACAGAUUAAGAGCUCUUUCUUGAUUCAGUGGGUGGUGGUGCAUGGCCGUUCUUAGUUGGUGGAGCGAUUUGUCUGGUUAAUUCCGAUAACGAACGAGACUCUAGCCUACUAAAUAGGCGUUCCGAUCCUUUAUGUCGGACGUUCUUCUUAGAGGGACAAGCGGCUUUUAGCCGCACGAGACAGAGCAAUAACAGGUCUGUGAUGCCCUUAGAUGUCCGGGGCCGCACGCGCGCUACACUGAAGGAAUCAGCGUGUGCUUUCCCUGUCUGGUAGGACUGGGUAACCCGUUAAACCUCCUUCGUGAUAGGGAUAGGGGCUUGUAAUUGUUCCCCUUGAACGAGGAAUUCCCAGUAAGCACGAGUCAUAAGCUCGUGUUGAUUACGUCCCUGCCCUUUGUACACACCGCCCGUCGCUACUACCGAUUGAAUGAUUUAGUGAGGUCUUCGGACUGGCGCUCGUAGCGACCUUUACGGCCGCGCCGACGUGCCGGAAAGAUGACCAAACUUGAUCAUUUAGAGGA